GUGCCAGCAGCCGCGGUAAUACGGAGGUGGCAAGCGUUGUUCGGAUUUAUUGGGUGUAAAGGGCAUGUAGGUGUCCUAGUAAGUUCUGAUUGAAAUCCUUCGGCUCAACCGAAGAACGUGUCAGAAUACUGCUGGGAUUGAGUGCGGAAGGGGAGAACGGAAUUCCCGGUGUAAGGGUGAAAUCUGUAGAUAUCGGGAGGAACACCAGUGGCGAAGGCGGUUCUCUGGUCCGCAACUGACACUGAAAUGCGAAAGCUAGGGGAGCAAACAGGAUUAGAUACCCUGGUAGUCC
RNAcentral lists this ribosomal RNA (292 nucleotides) under uncultured prokaryote. RNAcentral's name for it is "partial 16S ribosomal RNA". It matches the Rfam family "Bacterial small subunit ribosomal RNA", at positions 505 to 796 of the family's 1533-position model. The record is from RNAcentral.